Molecule: unclassified non-coding RNA, 378 nt
Filed under: plant metagenome
Description: partial contains 5.8S ribosomal RNA, internal transcribed spacer 2, and large subunit ribosomal RNA
Rfam family: 5.8S ribosomal RNA (bases 1-105)
Source: RNAcentral
GAAAUGCGAUAAGUAAUGGGAAUUGCAGAAUUCAGUGAAUCAUCGAAUCUUUGAACGCACCUUGCGCUCCUUGGUAUUCCUUGGAGCAUGCCUGUUUGAGUAUCAUGAAAUCUUCAAAGUAAAUCUUUUGUUAACUCAAUUGGUUUCUACUUUGGUAUUGGAGGUCUUUGCAGCUUCACACCUGCUCCUCUUUGUUCAUUAGCUGGAUCUCAGUGUUAUGCUUGGUUCCACUCGGCGUGAUAAGUUAUCUAUCGCUGAGGACACUGUAAAAGGUGGCCAAGGUAAAUGCAGAUGAACCGCUUCUAAUAGUCCAUUGACUUGGACAAUACUUUUAUGAUCUGAUCUCAAAUCAGGUAGGACUACCCGCUGAACUUAAGC